Molecule: long non-coding RNA, 6860 nt
Filed under: Citrus sinensis (sweet orange)
Lineage: Eukaryota; Viridiplantae; Streptophyta; Magnoliopsida; Sapindales; Rutaceae
Description: long non-coding RNA (CSIN_LNC004182)
Source: RNAcentral
UGGCCAGAGUAAAAAGGUUGCUCGAUUUCCAGUUUAUCUGAGAAUUGGAAAAGUAGGAAAUUAAUAAUAGUUUAUUCAAGCUCAAAUUAAUAAAUAUUGUUGAUGAUGAAUCUAGUCGAGUUGAUUUGUCGGCUUGCAACCAGACCUCCAUGUCAGUAUUUAAAUUUAUAUGUAGGAGAGCGGUUUGUCAAUCUCUUGAAUUUUCAGCAGGAAUCCACGAACAGAAAUCAAUAAUAGGCAAUAAAAGUUUUAAAUCGAUAGAAGUUUUGAAUUUUCAGCAGGUUUGUCAAUUUGUCAAUCUCUUGAAUUUUCAGCAGAAAUCCAUGAACAAUUACUAUAACAGAAAUCAAUAAUAGGCAAUAGAAGUUUUUCUGGCGUUGAAAUUAAUUUUUUGGAUUUAUUAAAAAAAUAGAAAUAGUCCCUGGUUUUUAGUAUAACAGAAAAAGAAAGAAAACACGUCAAUAUAAAGAGAGUGAAAAGUAAAAGAUAGUCUAAAGAGAGAAAAGUUGAAUUUACUUAUUUUGAUUUUCUUCAACUUUUGUGAAGGUUAGAAUCCUCUUCCCCAUUGAUUUUACUUGUGAAAUGCAAAAUCAAAAGUCCUCCGGGCUCCCAAAUCCGAUGCAAUGAAUCACUUCAUUUUUAUGAAAAUUUAGAUACUAAGCUUGGAGUAUAAGUUGUGAAAACUGAAUGUCUUGUUGCUUCAUUUCAUCAUCCAUGGUGCAUUCUCUUCAUUCUCCGUAUCGGUUCUAAUUUUAUCGGAUGUUCCAAAGAGACCACGAUGGAUCCUCUGUUUCCAUUAUUAUUAAAAUUCUUUACAACAAUGAACCACAAGGUAAGACAACCCGGACCAACAUUUACAAAAAUUGAAGCACCAAGGAAAAAAGCCAAGUCCAUGACUAUUUAAUCUUCGAAAGUCCUAAAAAGUUAAAAAUGAAAAAUCGGGGUCAAAAUUGAACACUUCUAAGGUUUCCCAAGUUCAAUUUGGCUUCACCUGAUAACUCCUACGAUAUUAGCAUCUUAAUUUUACUGAUAUAAUGUUACAGCCAGCUUUAGUUUUUAUUUUCUUUAUUGGCCCCCCGUAGAACCAAAACCCUGGAUUGCUACCUACCCUAACUUUAUAUUUGUAUGUAAAUUUUCAACUAGCUGGGAUGUUAAAAAAUGUUAUAGGCUCGGACCCGAGCCCCAAACAAUUAGAAUUUGCAACAAAGCGACCGACGAUUUGAUAUCGCUGCACUGCACCACCAAUGUCCUGAACUUGAACAAAAUUUCGCAGCACAAUCAACCGUAGAUCUAGUGACAAUUGCUCAAGCCGUGCACUGGUUCGACCGAGUCAUUUUUAGUUUUACAAUCAAGUCAAAGGGGUACUCAAAAAAUCCAAUGGUGUAAUAGCUACGGUGGAGCGGCACAGUCCCAGAAGUGAACAUAUCCAUCGAUGCAGUUUUCAAACUGUUUUACACCGUUGAUUAUGAACCAUAUUGGGACAACGCUAAUCGGUGGAAAACAAGCACGACAGAUUUUCGUUUGAGCCUUCGGAUGGAGUGUUGUGUAAAUUAGUAAGUGUACAUACUAGUUGGCUCAAGUAAAAUAAUGAAGAGUAGAGUAUCAUCCCACGAAAAUUGUAUAUCUUAUUAGAUACCGAAAUUAUUCUAACUCUAAUUUAUUUGAAUAACCAAAUAAGUGAAUUUAAAUUAAAAACUAAAUAAAAUAACUAAAAAUUAAAUAAAGAUGCAAUUAGUAAUAGAAAUCACUAAAAGAGAUUUAGACACUAUGACAUCCGGUUUCACCAUAACUAAUUCAAUUUAAUCAUCCAUCUAUGUUAUUAAAGAUUAUUACUCAUGUUGACAGUGAAUUUCCCUAAUCUAUUCAAUAUCAUCUCCCGAAUAAUAUUAAAAAUAUUCCCACAUAUUAACUAACUAUAUCUCCAUGUAAAUUUAAAUAUGUAAAAAUUCAUUAAGCUCUAUAGAAAUUUUUAGAUAAAACUGCAUGAAUCACACUGGCGCAUGUUUGUCUUUCAUUCAAUUCACGGCAUUCAUUACAAAGAGCAAAAAUAUAUAAAUCUCCUCUUGGUCUCAUUACGUAUCCUCAAAUCAUUCAAAUAUUGGCCAGAUAUUUAAAAGUAUUAAGCACAAUAAUGAGCACUCAAUCAUGGAAUAAUAAAUUAAAAGUAACAUGGAUUUAUGAAAUUAAAUUUUCAUAAUUAGGCUACAUCGUAGCCCCAUUAAAAUAAAUUAGUUUAUAGGAAUAUAAAAGAAUUCAUAAACAUUUUAGGAAACAUUCAAGUACAACAAUAGAAAAGAGGAAAAGUAAAACCCAAGAAUUAAUCCGGCUUCUCUUUGGAUGCCUUGUAGCUGCUUCUCCUUGAUUUGUUUUUGCGCCUGCUUUGGCUUUUGCCCUGUUUUCUUCUUUGUAUAAUACUCAAUCGAUGGCCUUAAAAUCAUUAACCCAAAAGGAUUAAAAAACAAACUCAUGAAAGUAAGCCAAGCCGCUUUUAAAUUCUUAGGUCAUCAUAUUGCAAAUUCAAAUGCCCAAGUUCACUGCUGUACCGUACAUCCGCCUUGGCCGUACAGCAGUUAACCCUAAGAAAAAAAAGAUAAAAAACGCACGCGCACACACAAUUUUUAGAUUCCAAACUAGGCUCGAAAGUAUGAAUUUAUUUUUUAUGACUUUUAAUUUUGAAAAGCAACGUUGGGCAUUCUAAUUUGAGACUCGAUUCAUGUGAUGUUUACAUAUAUAGACAGUGAUUAAAUAAUUUUAUAAGUAAUAAAAUUUGUUAUUAAUAAAUCAGUAAUACUUGCUACCGGACUCAAGCGUGAACUCAAACUUUGAUACGUAACGGAAAGAGUACAGAAGGCGGAACCGCGGAUCGGUUCGAAAUAUGAAACGCACCGUUUCUUUUUAGUGGAGUAAAAUAAUACAGGAGUUUAAAACUUGAAACCUACGGUGUCAUUUCACAGUUUCAUCGAGAAUCUAGCAAUCUUGUUGUCCAUUUUAUUUACUUACAGUCAAAUUGACGAUUCUUUGUUGGCUUAUGAAAAGUGAAAACAGUCUCACUUUCAUAAUUUGAUUGAUUUGAAGAUCUAGGGUUUCAGAUUUAUCCAAUUUUCUACUCAGCUCGAAAAUCAAUCGAAAAUGAGUGAGGUCUUCGAAGGAUACGAGCGUCAGUACUGCGAGCUCUCAACAAAUCUCUCCAGAAAAUGCAGCUCAGCUUCUCUUCUACCAGAUGGAGGUAUUAUCACAACCAUUAUAGAUCUUUUAAUUAUAUAUGGUAUUUAACUGAUCUUCUGAGUUGUAUAACUUCUACUGAUGUUGAUUCGAUAUUACAGAUCAGAAGAAAGAAAAGUAUUCCGAGAUACAAUCUGGACUGGAUGACGCUGACGCUUUGGUACUGCGUUAAAAGAAUCUUGAUUUUUAUGUUUAGAAGUUUCUCUGUUUUGUAUUUAGGAUUUUUUUUUUCCUUUUUGGGGAUCAGAUUCGUAAAAUGGAUUUGGAGGCAAGAAGUUUGCAGCCGAAUGUAAAGGCUAUGCUGCUUGCUAAAUUAAGAGAAUACAAGUCAGAUUUGAAUAAGUUGAAGAGAGAGUUUAAAAGAAUUUCGUCAUCCGACGCUCACGAAGAGUUGCUGGAGUCUGGAAAAGCCGAUCCAAAUGUGGUACAUAGUCAUUUUUGUUUUGACUUUGCGUGAUUCAUGGUUACCAUGUUCAGCUUUAGAUUACUUGUUUUAUCUUGGAGAAGAGAUUGCUCAACUUGAUUUUAACUUUAAUCAAUUGGCGAAUGGUUGUCUGCUGCUAUAUGCAUUGAAAGUGUCUUUGAGAACAUGUUUGUUGAAAGGGUUUUUGAGAGAAUGUGCUUUUGUUUUUUUUUCCUCUCCCAUCUGAAAGUUGCUUUAUUAAAGGCAUCUAUCAACUGCUUCCCUUUGUGUAUUUAAUCCAAACACUAGAAAGCGGAUAUAAAACCCAUUUUAAGCAUAUAAGAACAUUUACCAAUUCCAAAGAGUUUCAAAUGCACCACUAAUGUUGCUUGGUGCCAGUUUUGCUGAUAGAUGAGAAUGGGCAGAAAAAUGUUUGUCGGUCAAUUACUUUUGGGAACUUUGACGGAACUAAUGAUAAGUGUGAAUUGUGAGUGCGAAUAGUCUGUUCAUGACAGCUUGUUGAAGGUUAUUUUUUUGUUUUUUGAAUUUUACCGGAAUAGAGAUUGAUUAGUUAGUUUGAUGCCUUGCAGUUUGAACAAUUUGCUUGCCAGAUGAAGUGGAGAUGUUUGUAUAUAUUCUGUAGACAAUUUCUAUGACUGAUAACUGAUGUUACAGGUUUCUGGGGAGCAGAGAGAAAGAUUGGCCAUGUCAGUUGAGAGAAUAAAUCAGUCAGGUGAAAGAAUUAGGGAGAGUAGAAGAGUCAUGCUAGAGACAGAGGAGCUUGGUAUCUCAAUUGUGGAAGAUCUGAAUCAACAGCGUGAAACUCUGUUAAAUUCUCGUAACAAGGUAUUCUUGCUUGCUUGACUUUUCUUUUUGGUUCAUAUGCAUUCUUAGAGGAGCUGCUGUACGGCCAAGGCGGAUGUACGGUACAGCAGAUUAUAUCAACAUAACUUUUAAAUUACAGCAACUAAUAUUUAUUAAGUACUUUAAUAUUAUAACUUUUAAAUUUCUGCAACCCAACCUCAAUUCUCAAUUCCAAAUCCAACCCUUAAUCGACAAAAUCCGUAUUUGGGAAAUGACAACCCACUCCGAUUACAUUAUUUUAAGAGUAAUGAUACAACCAUAAACUCUUAUACAAACUUAUUUUGUACAAACUGACGUGACAUUAAUUCAUUGGUUGAAUGAAAAUAUAAAUUAAUAAAAAUAAAUCAUGUGGACCAAGUGAUAUUUAAUUCAACCAAUCUUAUCAUAUCAUAUUAAUUUGUACAAAAUAAAUUUGUACGAGAGUUUGUGACUGUAUCAUUAUUUUUAUUUUAAAUCCUUCGUAGAGAAAUUGUUUUGAAAAAAUUAAUUUCUACAGGGGCAUUUUCGUAAUAAUGCAUAAUACUUUCAUUUUCUCUGCUGUCUCAACAGCCUCACUUCGCUUUCCUCGAUCACAUUUUUCAUUUUUCCCUUUCUCGUAGAGUCGUUCCUCGACGGAUCUCAGUCGUCGGACCCGGCAAGGUAAGCCAGGUGUCUCGAUCUCGCGUAUUAGUUCAUAGUCUACCUCUCCCCUUGCACAAUUCUCACUCAAUUUAUUUACCUCCAUCUGGGUAGUACAGUUAAUUUCUCCUUCGCAUUUUCCAGCAUUUAUAAGAACUUUAUGCAUUCAGUUAUCGCCUCGAGCUUUUAGUGCGGUUAUUAGUUGAAAUUUCUUCUGCUGGUUAGUUCCACUGAAACGACGUCAUUUAUUUCUUGUUAUAUUUUUAAUUUGUGAAUUAAGCAUAAAUUUCAUUCUGGCUUCUUUCGCUAUUUGUUUAUUUAUUUAUUUCUGCUAUAUUCAUACACAGGAGAUAAUUGAUCAUAACUACAAAAAAACAGGUGCUGGGGUGGGGUGGGGGGGAAAGAUUUGCUUUUAUUAGUUUGGCCAGAUGAAGCUUCUGGGCAAAGUCUAUGUUCUAACUGAAUGUAUAGAAGAGCGUGCUUUGUUCAAUUUGUCAAAGAGUUGACGAGUGUGCUCUGGUUUUAUUUAUUUUAUAUUUUCUUUUCCAAUCUUCUAGGGUAUGCAGGCAGUUGAUAGAUACACGUAAAGUUUAGUUUGAAGACAGAAUUGAUUACAAAAUGGGGCGUUUAAAGUUACAAUCUGGAAUCAAAGCUAUUGAGGAAGAACCCGAGGAGUAUGAUGCAACUUAUUCAAACAAAGCUACUUUAUCAUGCAUGAUUAAUUCAGAAGUAGGUGCCGUGUUGGCAGUGAUGAGACGAAAUAGAAGUGUAAGGUGGGGGGGUCAGUAUAUGUCAGGUGAUGAUCAGCUGGAGCAUUCUUUGAUCCAGUCUCUGAAGACAUUACGGAAACAAAUCUUCUCAUGGCAGCAUCCAUGGCAUACCAUUAACCCUGCUGCAUAUCUCCAGCCGUUUCUAGAUGUGAUUCGAUCGGAUGAAACUGGUGCACCAAUCACUAGUAUUGCUUUGUCUUCCGUGUACAAGAUUUUAUCUCUUGACGUGAUUGAUCAAAACAGCAUUAAUGUUGAAGAGGCUAUGCACUUGGUAGUAGAUGCUGUGACUAGCUGCAGAUUUGAAGUGACUGAUCCUGCAUCAGAGGAAGUGGUUCUGAUGAAGAUACUUCAGGUUCUUUUGGCUUGUAUGAAAAGCAAAGCAUCCAUCGUGUUGAGUAAUCAGCAUGUUUGCACCAUAGUAAACACUUGUUUCCGUAUAGUUCAUCAAGCUGGAAAUAAGGGUGAGUUGUCACAAAGGAUUGCUCGCCACACUAUGCAUGAACUUGUCAGGUGUAUUUUUUCACACCUUCCAGAUGUUGAUAACUCAGAACAUGCAUUGGUUAAUGGAGUUACUGCUGUCAAGCAGGAGGUAUAAACACAUGUUCCACCUUCCUCAUAUGUCUUUUAUUUUAUUUUGGGUUGGGGGGUUGGAAUUCAGAUGGCCAGAGUAAAAAGGUUGCUCGAUUUCCAGUUUAUCUGAGAAUUGGAAAAGUAGGAAAUUAAUAAUAGUUUAUUCAAGCUCAAAUUAAUACAUAUUGUUGAUGAUGAAUCUAGUCGAGUUGAUUUGUCGGCUUGCAACCAGACCUCCAUGUCAGUAUUUAAAUUUAUAUGUAGGAGAGCGGUUUGUCAAUCUCUUGAAUUUUCAGCAGGAAUCCACGAACUCAAACAAAAUUCUCCACGAACACUUACUAUAACAGAAAUCAAUAAUAGGCAAUAGAAGUUUUUCUGGCGUUGAAAUUAAUUUUUUGGAUUUAUUAAAAAAA